RNAcentral lists this transfer RNA (74 nucleotides) under Chloroflexota bacterium. Its description in RNAcentral is "Chloroflexi bacterium (groundwater metagenome) tRNA-Gln". It matches the Rfam family "tRNA". From Rfam's summary of the family: Transfer RNA (tRNA) molecules are approximately 80 nucleotides in length. Their secondary structure includes four short double-helical elements and three loops (D, anti-codon, and T loops). RNAcentral also lists the same sequence under 1 other name. The record is from RNAcentral. Lineage: Bacteria; Bacillati; Chloroflexota.
UGGGGAUUAGUCUAGCGGUAGGACGCCUGACUCUGGAUCAGGUAGCCCUGGUUCGAAUCCAGGAUCCCCAGCCA